UUAAGCGACUAAGCGUACACGGUGGAUGCCCUGGCAGUCAGAGGCGAUGAAGGACGUGCUAAUCUGCGAAAAGCGCCGGCGAGGUGAUAUGAACCCUUGACCCGGCGAUGUCCGAAUGGGGAAACCCAGUGUGUUCCGACACACUAUCGUUAACUGAAUACAUAGGUUAACGAGGCGAACCGGGGGAACUGAAACAUCUAAGUACCCCGAGGAAAAGAAAUCAACCGAGAUUCCCCCAGUAGCGGCGAGCGAACGGGGAGCAGCCCGGAGUCUGAAUCAGCUUGUGUGUUAGUGGAACGGUCUGGAAAGUCCGACGGUACAGGGUGAUAGUCCCGUACACGAAAAUGCACAUGCUGUGAACUCGAAGAGUAGGGCGGGACACGUGGUAUCCUGUCUGAAUAUGGGGGGACCAUCCUCCAAGGCUAAAUACUCCUGACUGACCGAUAGUGAACCAGUACCGUGAGGGAAAGGCGAAAAGAACCCCGGCGAGGGGAGUGAAAAAGAACCUGAAACCGUGUACGUACAAGCAGUGGGAGCACCUUCGGGUGUGACUGCGUACCUUUUGUAUAAUGGGUCAGCGACUUAUAUUCUGUAGCAAGGUUAACCGUAUAGGGGAGCCGAAGGGAAACCGAGUCUUAACUGGGCGUUAAGUUGCAGGGUAUAGACCCGAAACCCGGUGAUCUAGCCAUGGGCAGGUUGAAGGUUGGGUAACACUAACUGGAGGACCGAACCGACUAAUGUUGAAAAAUUAGCGGAUGACCUGUGGCUGGGGGUGAAAGGCCAAUCAAACCGGGAGAUAGCUGGUUCUCCCCGAAAGCUAUUUAGGUAGCGCCUCGUGAACUCAUCUUCGGGGGUAGAGCACUGUUUCGGCUAGGGGGCCAUCCCGGCUUACCAACCCGAUGCAAACUACGAAUACCGAAGAAUGUUAUCACGGGAGACACACGGCGGGUGCUAACGUCCGUCGUGAAGAGGGAAACAACCCAGACCGCCAGCUAAGGUCCCAAAGUCAUGGUUAAGUGGGAAACGAUGUGGGAAGGCACAGACAGCCAGGAUGUUGGCUUAGAAGCAGCCAUCAUUUAAAGAAAGCGUAAUAGCUCACUGGUCGAGUCGGCCUGCGCGGAAGAUGUAACGGGGCUAAACCAUGCACCGAAGCUGCGGCAGCGACGCUUAUGCGUUGUUGGGUAGGGGAGCGUUCUGUAAGCCGUUGAAGGUGUGCUGUGAGGCAUGCUGGAGGUAUCAGAAGUGCGAAUGCUGACAUAAGUAACGAUAAAGCGGGUGAAAAGCCCGCUCGCCGGAAGACCAAGGGUUCCUGUCCAACGUUAAUCGGGGCAGGGUGAGUCGACCCCUAAGGCGAGGCCGAAAGGCGUAGUCGAUGGGAAACAGGUUAAUAUUCCUGUACUUGGUGUUACUGCGAAGGGGGGACGGAGAAGGCUAUGUCAGCCGGGCGACGGUUGUCCCGGUUUAAGCAUGUAGGCGGAGGUUCCAGGUAAAUCCGGUACCUUAUUAACGCUGAGGUGUGAUGACGAGGCACUACGGUGCUGAAGUGAUAAAUGCCCUGCUUCCAGGAAAAGCCUCUAAGCAUCAGGUAACACGAAAUCGUACCCCAAACCGACACAGGUGGUCAGGUAGAGAAUACCAAGGCGCUUGAGAGAACUCGGGUGAAGGAACUAGGCAAAAUGGUGCCGUAACUUCGGGAGAAGGCACGCUGAUAUGUAGGUGAAGCCCCUGCGGGCGGAGCUGAAAUCAGUCGAAGAUACCAGCUGGCUGCAACUGUUUAUUAAAAACACAGCACUGUGCAAACACGAAAGUGGACGUAUACGGUGUGACGCCUGCCCGGUGCCGGAAGGUUAAUUGAUGGGGUUAGCGGCAACGCGAAGCUCUUGAUCGAAGCCCCGGUAAACGGCGGCCGUAACUAUAACGGUCCUAAGGUAGCGAAAUUCCUUGUCGGGUAAGUUCCGACCUGCACGAAUGGCGUAAUGAUGGCCAGGCUGUCUCCACCCGAGACUCAGUGAAAUUGAACUCGCUGUGAAGAUGCAGUGUACCCGCGGCAAGACGGAAAGACCCCGUGAACCUUUACUAUAGCUUGACACUGAACACUGGUCCUUGAUGUGUAGGAUAGGUGGGAGGCUUUGAAGCGUGGACGCCAGUCUGCGUGGAGCCACCCUUGAAAUACCACCCUUUAAUGGCUGGUGUUCUAACGUAGACCCGUGAUCCGGGUUGCGGACAGUGUCUGGUGGGUAGUUUGACUGGGGCGGUCUCCUCCCAAAGAGUAACGGAGGAGCACGAAGGUUGGCUAAUCCUGGUCGGACAUCAGGAGGUUAGUGCAAUGGCAUAAGCCAGCUUGACUGCGAGCGUGACGGCGCGAGCAGGUGCGAAAGCAGGUCAUAGUGAUCCGGUGGUUCUGAAUGGAAGGGCCAUCGCUCAACGGAUAAAAGGUACUCCGGGGAUAACAGGCUGAUACCGCCCAAGAGUUCAUAUCGACGGCGGUGUUUGGCACCUCGAUGUCGGCUCAUCACAUCCUGGGGCUGAAGUAGGUCCCAAGGGUAUGGCUGUUCGCCAUUUAAAGUGGUACGCGAGCUGGGUUUAGAACGUCGUGAGACAGUUCGGUCCCUAUCUGCCGUGGGCGCUGGAGAAUUGAGGGGGGCUGCUCCUAGUACGAGAGGACCGGAGUGGACGCAUCACUGGUGUUCGGGUUGUCAUGCCAAUGGCACUGCCCGGUAGCUAAAUGCGGAAGAGAUAAGUGCUGAAAGCAUCUAAGCACGAAACUUGCCCCGAGAUGAGUUCUCCCUGAGACCUUGAGUCUCCUGAAGGAACGUUGAAGACGACGACGUUGAUAGGUCGGGUGUGUAAGCGCAGCGAUGCGUUGAGCUAACCGAUACUAAUGAACCGUGAGGCUUAACCUU
Molecule: ribosomal RNA, 2903 nt
Filed under: Enterobacter cloacae
Lineage: Bacteria; Pseudomonadati; Pseudomonadota; Gammaproteobacteria; Enterobacterales; Enterobacteriaceae
Also listed under: 1 other name
Description: bacterial LSU rRNA
Rfam family: Bacterial large subunit ribosomal RNA
Source: RNAcentral